Molecule: long non-coding RNA, 2603 nt
Organism: Lolium perenne
Lineage: Eukaryota; Viridiplantae; Streptophyta; Magnoliopsida; Poales; Poaceae
Source: RefSeq, a predicted model, not a curated record
AUGUGCCACUAAAUUGCUGAACUUACUGCUAUAGUAGGCCAGGAGAUGUCUGUAUGUCCUCUUCCCGCUGCACACUUUAGGCCUGUAAGCAGUAAGGAAGCGUUGUGUGUUGUGUCAACUCUAUUCCCCUUAUCACCUAAAUAAUUAUGGCCUGGUAGGUAAAACGUACUUGUAGAACUUCAGAACCUCUUCAAAGGCACAUCUUGGUCUGACAGAGGGCUUGGAGGUUAUGUAGCAUCGUGUUAGUGUUUUUGUACUUUAGUUCAUGCAUGCAGUUUGAAAGUUGAUGCAAAUUGAGGUCAUUUAUGUGCUGUGAAGAUUAAAUAUUAAACAUAUAUGUGCGAAAAUCUCAAGUAUGAUAUUAGCACUUUCACCUGAAAAUGUGUACUCCUGGGAACCAACACUUGGAAAUAUCAUCCAUGGGUCAUCACUCAGUGUCAUUCCAAAAUAAAAUCGAAGUAAUAUUAGUUGUUUCACUUUCAAUGUUUUUUCUCAACUCUUGUCGUAUAUGUGCCAUCAGUGGUAUUGGUAAGCAAAUUGCAGUAGCUUUGUAAUAGGGGGGGGGGGGGGGGGUUCAGUUUAUAUCAUAGUAUUGGUACAAAUUAAGACAUUAUGCUCCUAAGGCUUUACAUGCUACACGUUGUAUUACUAUAAAGCAUUACUUGUAUGCUCUGAUGGUGAACUGUUCAAUGCAAUGACUUUUAAUUUGAUUUCACAUUAUGUACGGUCUACAUUUCAAGUUUCCAAGGCCUUAAAAAUGCUAUAGUUCUUACAACACCGCUAGUUUUAACAUCAGGUCAUACAUAGGUGCAAAAGAAUAACCAUGCACCAUUUGUAGUACUCCAUCCAGCAAUUUAGUGUAUAGAUACAUCCAAAUUUGGACAAAUCUACGGCAUCCUUUUUGGGACGGAAGGAGUAUGUUAUUUUUGGCAUUAUCCUCCAGCAACUUGUGCAACUCACUAGUACCCCAGCACUGCAUUAUCCUCCAGCAACUUAUGCAACUCAAGAGUACCCCAGCACCAUCCAGCUAACGCUUGGUGUUUAAAGGCCUAGUUUUUUUUUUUGCUUUAACAUUUGAAUAUAGGAUGAACCUGAUUGGUUUGAAGCAAUUAAAUAUGGCAGUCCUCAACAACAUGUCUUGUUGCUUUAUUACUGUUUCUGGUCCUUGUCUGUAAAUUAUUACUUGCGAUAACACAAGGGUGGUGAGCAACACCCACAGUUUCAUUUGAUGACUAAAAUCUAGGCCUCGUAGAAGGACUGAGCUAGUUAGUCGGGAGCGUUUAACAGUUGCAUCAGGUGUAACGACUUGCCAUACGUUGCUCUUGAAGAACCCAUGUGUGGUGAGCCUGCGGGACUUUUGUCCAUGGUACCAGGUUCGUUUUUUCGAGAGUUGUAGGCUUGUAGCUACUGUAAUUGGGUAGUUUUGUUUUUGUUGCUAUCAGAAGCACGGUAGAUAGUUGAUUUCUAUGGUCACCGGUCGGAUGAUGCAGCUGGAGCUUGCAUGCAAGUCGCAGUUGAGCCAAGCUGACAGUGAUGUCAAGUAAGUGCAUCAUGUCUCAUACGGAACUUGUGACUGUUGCUCAUGCUCUUGUGAGAACUUCUGGUUGUCGCGCCAUGUCUGGAACGUCAACAGCCUAGACAUGAGGUCCUGCCAUGAUGGGCUCAAACAAUCUAGGGGAACUCAAUUUAUGUCCCAAGUAACUCCUAGGGCACAUCUAAUAACUUACUGACACACAUUGCAAGGUAAAAACAUCUUUCUCGUUGGAUUGUGUGGGAUCAAGAUGCCAUGUACUGUGCAUUUCCAUAGAAUUUUAAAACACAUGACUUGUUUCAGUAAGAAAUGCUGGUAUAUUUGAAAGGAAAGAAACCCAUGGAUUAUUAAGGAGACAGAACAGAGAGAUAGAUUCUAAGUGCAUUUGAUUUUUCAAAGAAAAAAUAAAAUAAGGUUUGAGCUUAUGGUAAGAUUCUUAUGGAAUGGAGUUUAUAAAAUUUUGUAUGAAUUGUAAUCCUCUUAAAUUCCUGCGAAAUUCAUUCAAUCUAAAGAGGCCCUUAGUUUCUACCUUACCAUUCUUCUGUUCUGCGUGUAAGAGAAGAGAGGUCCUCUUCUCUUCUGCGUGUAAUUAUCUUACCCAAAAGCUCUUUGGAUGAGUGAGAAAUUGGCGUUCUCAUCACUAUUUGUUCUACUUAAGCCUUCCCUUCCAUAAGGUUCCUCUCUGGCUAUCAUAAGAUGUUGCUUCAUAAUUUUCAUCCACUUGCUGGUAGUAUUCUAUCCGAGGAGUUGAUUCCUUUUACCAACAUAUACCAGCUACGGACUCUUUCAUAAGUUUUCAACUCUUUUACCCCUGGUAUUCAUCAGGGUAUCCUGUGGUUCCAAUACGUCACCUUUUUUCCUAGUUCAUGAUGCUUCCAUGAACCUAUGUCUUGCUAACUUCUUCAACUUCACUGGCACUAACACCUCAUUCGAAUGAACAAGUGAUUUCUCGCACCUUCUCUUCAUACAUAUUCGAUACCACGGUUUCACCAUACCAGCAGUGGUCUGUACUAAUUGAAUUUUCUUCCUCUGGGGUUUGAAUUGCAAGAAAUCCAUUAGCUAAAUUCUUGGA